This 858-nucleotide ribosomal RNA is filed under the name uncultured bacterium. RNAcentral's name for it is "bacterial SSU rRNA". It matches the Rfam family "Bacterial small subunit ribosomal RNA", at positions 60 to 915 of the family's 1533-position model. The record is from RNAcentral.
AGUCGAGGGGCAGCACGGUAGCAAUACUGGUGGCGACCGGCAAACGGGUGCGGAACACGUACGCAACCUUCCUUUAAGAGAUGGAUAGCCCGAAGAAAUUCGGAUUAAUACAUCGUAAGAUUGUGGGAUGGCAUCAUCCAGCAAUUAAAGAUUUAUUUCGCUUAAAGAUGGGCGUGCGCCUGAUUAGGUAGUUGGUGAGGUAACGGCUCACCAAGCCGACGAUCAGUAACUGGCGUGAGAGCGCGACCAGUCACACGGGCACUGAGACACGGGCCCGACUCCUACGGGAGGCAGCAGUAAGGAAUAUUGGUCAAUGGACGCAAGUCUGAACCAGCCAUGCCGCGUGAAGGAUGAAAGCCCUCUGGGUUGUAAACUUCUUUUAUCUGGGAAGAAACCACUUUUUUCUAAGAGUGUUAACGGUACCAGAGGAAUAAGCACCGGCUAACUCCGUGCCAGCAGCCGCGGUAAUACGGAGGGUGCAAGCGUUAUCCGGAUUCACUGGGUUUAAAGGGUGCGUAGGCGGAUUAUUAAGUCCGUGGCGAAAUCUCCAAGCUUAACUUGGAAACUGCCAUGGAUACUAUUAGUCUUGAAUGUUGUGGAGGUUAGCGGAAUAUGUCAUGUAGCGGUGAAAUGCAUAGAUAUGACAUAGAACACCAAUUGCGAAGGCAGCUGGCUACACAAAUAUUGACGCUGAGGCACGAAAGCGUGGGGAUCAAACAGGAUUAGAUACCCUGGUAGUCCACGCCCUAAACGAUGAUUACUCGACAUUUGCGAUACACAGCAAGUGUCUGAGCGAAAGCAUUAAGUAAUCCACCUGGGAAAGUACGACCGCAAGGUUGAAACUCAAAGGAAUUGACG